AAAGAGCGGUGCGCGGGCGCUGCCCGGAGCGAUCCGGCUAGAGGCAAGUCCGGGCUUCAAAGAGCAGGAUGCCGGCUAACGGCAGGCGGGGGUGACCCUAGGGAAAGUGCAACAGAAAAUAUCACGCCGAUGGAUCAUAUUACACCGGCCAUUAAAUGUCGACAAUGAAUGCGUAGCAUGAAUAUCGAAAUGCAAGGCGGCGGAAGGAGCCGAUGGGAGUCCAUCGGCGACUGACGACAACGCAGCAGGUCGGUAUUCAGACAAGCAGGCAGGUCGAUAUGUAAAGGCCGGGGUAAUAAAGUCACAGGUAAGUUUGAAAUGGCAGGGUAAGAGCCUACCGCGUUUGGGGUAACUCAAAUGGCAGUGUAAACCCCAUCCGAAGCAAGACCAAAACGAAGUGUUGACGCUGCUCGCCGAGCUUCAGGUAGGUUGCUUGAGGCUGCUUAGGCAGUCCUAGAUAGAUGUCCGCGCGCGACAGAACCCGGCUUACAGCCGCUCUUUCUUU
This 505-nucleotide RNase P RNA is filed under the name Lachnospiraceae bacterium. Its description in RNAcentral is "RNase P RNA component class A". It matches the Rfam family "Bacterial RNase P class A". From Rfam's summary of the family: Ribonuclease P (RNase P) is a ubiquitous endoribonuclease, found in archaea, bacteria and eukarya as well as chloroplasts and mitochondria. Its best characterised activity is the generation of mature 5'-ends of tRNAs by cleaving the 5'-leader elements of precursor-tRNAs. The record is from RNAcentral. Lineage: Bacteria; Bacillati; Bacillota; Clostridia; Lachnospirales; Lachnospiraceae.